This 346-nucleotide ribosomal RNA is filed under the name uncultured bacterium. RNAcentral describes it as "partial 16S ribosomal RNA". It matches the Rfam family "Bacterial small subunit ribosomal RNA", at positions 338 to 681 of the family's 1533-position model. The record is from RNAcentral.
CCUACGGGAGGCAGCAGUGAGGAAUAUUGGUCAAUGGACGCAAGUCUGAACCAGCCAUGCCGCGUGCAGGAUGACGGCUCUAUGAGUUGUAAACUGCUUUUGUACGAGGGUAAACCCCGAUACGUGUAUCGGGUUGAAAGUAACGUACGAAUAAGGAUCGGCUAACUCCGUGCCAGCAGCCGCGGUAAUACGGAGGAUCCGAUCGUUAUCCGGAGUUAUUGGGUUGAAAGGGUGCGUAGGCGGUUUGAUAAGUUAGAGGUGAAAUGUCGGGGCUCAACCCCGAACCGUCCUCUAAUACUGUUGGACUAGAGCAUAGUUGCGCUAGGCGGACUGUCUGGUGUCGCGG